AGGAGAAAGUUUUGGGCCGAAUUUGGAAAUCUUCAAAACAUCAAUAAGUUGCGUCUCGAAAUUGCCGUCAGGUAUUGGUGUCGCUCGACAC
This 91-nucleotide small RNA is filed under the name Arabidopsis thaliana (thale cress). RNAcentral's name for it is "ATSL096020". The record is from RNAcentral. Lineage: Eukaryota; Viridiplantae; Streptophyta; Magnoliopsida; Brassicales; Brassicaceae.